GUGAACAAUUAAACGGNCGCGGUACCCUAACCGUGCAAAGGUAGCAUAAUCAUUUGUCUACUAAUUAUAGACCUGUAUGAAAGGUAAAAUGAGGGUCUAACUGUCUCUUAUAGUCAAUCUAUUAAACUGAUCUCCUAGUAAAAAAGCUAGGAUGCAAACAUAAGACCAGAAGACCCUGUGAAGCUUAAACUAAACUAUUAAACCAUAUAAUAACUACUUUCGGUUGGGGCGACCUUGGAAAAAAAAAGAACUUCCAAAUAUAUGACCUUCAUCAUACUAAAKGGCACACAAGCCAACGAACGACCCAGCACAGCUGACUAAUGAACCAAGUUACUCCAGGGAUAACAGCGCAAUCCUCUUCAAGAGCCCAUAUCAAAAAGAGGGUUUACGACCUCGAUGUUGGAUCAGGACAUCCUAAUGGUGCAGUCGCUAUUAAGGGUUCGUUUGUUCAACGAUUAACAGUCCUACGUGAUCUGDUU
This 479-nucleotide ribosomal RNA is filed under the name Crotaphopeltis hotamboeia. Its description in RNAcentral is "partial 16S ribosomal RNA". The record is from RNAcentral. Lineage: Eukaryota; Metazoa; Chordata; Lepidosauria; Squamata; Colubridae.